This 814-nucleotide ribosomal RNA is filed under the name uncultured bacterium. Its description in RNAcentral is "bacterial SSU rRNA". It matches the Rfam family "Bacterial small subunit ribosomal RNA", at positions 1 to 808 of the family's 1533-position model. The record is from RNAcentral.
UAGAGUUUGAUCCUGGCUCAGGAUGAACGCUAGCUACAGGCUUAACACAUGCAAGUCGAGGGGAAACGGCAUUGAGUGCUUGCACUCUUUGGACGUCGACCGGCGCACGGGUGAGUAACGCGUAUCCAACCUUCCCAUUACUGUGGGAUAACCUGCCGAAAGGCAGACUAAUACCGCAUAGUCUUCGAUGACGGCAUCAGAUUUGAAGUAAAGAUUUAUCGGUAAUGGAUGGGGAUGCGUCUGAUUAGCUUGUUGGCGGGGUAACGGCCCACCAAGGCGACGAUCAGUAGGGGUUCUGAGAGGAAGGUCCCCCACAUUGGAACUGAGACACGGUCCAAACUCCUACGGGAGGCAGCAGUGAGGAAUAUUGGUCAAUGGACGGAAGUCUGAACCAGCCAAGUAGCGUGCAGGAUGACGGCCCUAUGGGUUGUAAACUGCUUUUGUAUGGGGAUAAAGUUAGGGACGUGUCCCUAUUUGCAGGUACCAUACGAAUAAGGACCGGCUAAUUCCGUGCCAGCAGCCGCGGUAAUACGGAAGGUCCAGGCGUUAUCCGGAUUUAUUGGGUUUAAAGGGAGCGUAGGCUGGAGAUUAAGUGUGUUGUGAAAUGUAGACGCUCAACGUCUGAAUUGCAGCGCAUACUGGUUUCCUUGAGUACGCACAACGUUGGCGGAAUUCGUCGUGUAGCGGUGAAAUGCUUAGAUAUGACGAAGAACUCCGAUUGCGAAGGCAGCUGACGGGAGCGCAACUGACGCUUAAGCUCGAAGGUGCGGGUAUCAAACAGGAUUAGAUACCCUGGUAGUCCGCACAGUAAACG